RNAcentral lists this ribosomal RNA (196 nucleotides) under uncultured bacterium. RNAcentral's name for it is "partial 16S ribosomal RNA". It matches the Rfam family "Bacterial small subunit ribosomal RNA", at positions 1303 to 1500 of the family's 1533-position model. The record is from RNAcentral.
GGCUGAAAUUCGCCUUCAUGAAGCCGGAAUUGCUAGUAAUGGCAGGUCAGCAUACUGCCGUGAAUACGUUCCCGGGCCUUGUACACACCGCCCGUCACACCAUGAGAGUUGGAGAUACCCGAAGCCUGUGAGCUAACAAACGAGGCAGCAGUCGAAGGUAGAAUCAAUGAUUGGGGUGAAGUCGUAACAAGGUAGC